Molecule: ribosomal RNA, 1459 nt
Filed under: Clostridioides difficile
Lineage: Bacteria; Bacillati; Bacillota; Clostridia; Peptostreptococcales; Peptostreptococcaceae
Description: bacterial LSU rRNA
Rfam family: Bacterial large subunit ribosomal RNA
Source: RNAcentral
GAAAAGAACCCCGGGAGGGGAGUGAAAUAGAACCUGAAACCCUGCACUUACAAGCUGUGGAAGCACAUUUCUUGUGUGACCGCGUACUUUUUGUAGAACGGGCCAACGAGUUACGUUAAGUAGCAAGGUUAAGCACUUAAGGUGCGGAGCCGUAGCGAAAGCGAGUUUUAACUGAGCGUUCAGUUACUUGACGUAGACCCGAAACCGGGCGACCUACCCAUGAGCAGGAUGAAGCGAAAGUAAAAUUUCGUGGAGGUCCGAACCCACGAGCGUUGAAAAGCUCGGGGAUGACUUGUGGGUAGCGGUGAAAUUCCAAUCGAGCCCGGAGAUAGCUGGUUCUCCCCGAAAUAGCUUUAGGGCUAGCCUCAAGGUGAGAGAUACGGAGGUAGAGCACUGAAUGUCCUAGGGGGUAUUGCACCUACCGAAGACUAUCAAACUCCGAAUGCCGUCAUCUUAUACUUGGGAGUCAGACUGUGGGUGAUAAGAUUCAUAGUCGAAAGGGCAACAGCCCAGAUCGUCAGCUAAGGUCCCUAAAUGUAAGUUAAGUGGUAAAGGAUGUGGGAUUGCACAGACAACCAGGAUGUUGGCUUAGAAGCAGCCACUCAUUCAAAGAGUGCGUAAUAGCUCACUGGUCGAGUGAUCCUGCGCCGAAGAUUUCCGGGGCUAAAACUUACUACCGAAGCUACGGCAUCAGUAAUGAUGGGUAGGGGAGCUUCCCAUACGGGUUGAAGCAUGACCGUAAGGACAUGUGGACAGUAUGGGAGUGAGAAUGUUGGCAUGAGUAGCGAGAUGUGGGUGAGAAUCCCACAGGCCGUAAACCCAAGGUUUCCAGGGGAAGGUUCGUCCGCCCUGGGUUAGUCGGGACCUAAGCUGAGGCCGAAAGGCGUAGGUGAUGGACAACAGGUUGAUAUUCCUGUACUACCGAUAACCGUUUGAGAGAAGGGAUGACACAGUAGGAUAAGCUAAGCACACUGUUGGUUAUGUGUGCCCAAGCAUUGAGGCAGUCAAAGUAGGCAAAUCCGCUUUGAUAAUGCUGGGAUGUGAUGGGGAGCGAAAUUUAGUAGCGAAGUAGCUGAUUUCACACUGUCAAGAAAAGUCUCUAUCGAGGUUAAAGGUACCCGUACCGCAAACCGACACAGGUGGGUGAGGAGAGUAUCCUAAGGCCAGCGAGAGAACUGUUGUUAAGGAACUCGGCAAAAUGACCCCGUAACUUAGGGAUAAGGGGUGCCACCAUCAGGUGGCCGCAGAGAAUAGGCCCAAGCGACUGUUUACCAAAAACAUAGGUUUCUGCUAAGUCGCAAGACGAUGUAUAGGAGCUGACGCCUGCCCGGUGCUGGAAGGUUAAGGGGAUCUGUUAGAGCAAUCGAAGCAGUGAACUUAAGCCCCAGUAAACGGCGGCCGUAACUAUAACGGUCCUAAGGUAGCGAAAUUCCUUGUCGGGUAAGUUCCGACCCGCACG